This 384-nucleotide ribosomal RNA is filed under the name uncultured bacterium. RNAcentral's name for it is "bacterial SSU rRNA". It matches the Rfam family "Bacterial small subunit ribosomal RNA", at positions 29 to 417 of the family's 1533-position model. The record is from RNAcentral.
AACGAACGUUGGCGGCGUGCCUAACACAUGCAAGUCGAGCGCGGGAGACUUCGGUCAAACGAGCGGCGCACGGGUGAGGAACACGUGAGUAAUCUGCCCUAGAGUCCGGGAUAACCGUCCGAAAGGAUGGCUAAUACUGGAUAAGCUCACGGAGACGUAGGUCUCUGGGAGAAAAGCUCCGGCGCUUUAGGAUGAGUUCGCGUCCCAUUAGGUAGUUGGUGAGGUAAUGGCUCACCAAGCCUUCGAUGGGUAACUGGUCUGAGAGGAUGAUCAGUCACACUGGAACUGAGACACGGUCCAGACUCCUACGGGAGGCAGCAGUGGGGAAUAUUGCGCAAUGGAGGAAACUCUGACGCAGCAACGCCGCGUGGGUGAUGAAGGCCU